GAUGAACGCUGGCGGCGUGCCUAAUACAUGCAAGUCGAGCGAACAGACGAGGAGCUUGCUCCUCUGACGUUAGCAGCGGACGGGUGAGUAACACGUGGAUAACCUACCUAUAAGACUGGGAUAACUUCGGGAAACCGGAGCUAAUACCGGAUAAUAUAUUGAACCGCAUGGUUCAAUAGUGAAAGACGGUUUUGCUGUCACUUAUAGAUGGAUCCGCGCCGCAUUAGCUAGUUGGUAAGGUAACGGCUUACCAAGGCGACGAUGCGUAGCCGACCUGAGAGGGUGAUCGGCCACACUGGAACUGAGACACGGUCCAGACUCCUACGGGAGGCAGCAGUAGGGAAUCUUCCGCAAUGGGCGAAAGCUUGACGGAGCAACGCCGCGUGAGUGAUGAAGGUCUUCGGAUCGUAAAACUCUGUUAUUAGGGAAGAACAAAUGUGUAAGUAACUAUGCACGUCUUGACGGUACCUAAUCAGAAAGCCACGGCUAACUACGUG
This 497-nucleotide ribosomal RNA is filed under the name uncultured bacterium. RNAcentral describes it as "partial 16S ribosomal RNA". It matches the Rfam family "Bacterial small subunit ribosomal RNA", at positions 28 to 507 of the family's 1533-position model. The record is from RNAcentral.